CUUUAAACGUACGUUGCUCUCACACUUGUUUUAACUAAAUGUUUACCAUAUAUAUAUAAAUAUUGAAAUCAUUUCAACAACAUGCUCCUGUCCGGGAUAUAUUGAUUCAGCAAAGCUCUGCAUGACCUGCAUCUUCAAGGUCACAAAAAGUUUGUCUAUCCUGAACUGGUUCCCUGAUUUAUUUGGAUAACAGACGCUUUUUCUAUCGACACUGCGGCCUGCCACAGUCUUUCUUGACUCUUUUUUUUGUAGAUCAAACUUUAACAGAUUAAAGGUGUGCAAGUAUUGAACAUCAGCUUGAAAUGCAAUGUGACCUAAAAGACAACUUAAUAAUGGACAGAUGUUCUCUGGUCAUUUGUACUUGUUGGCCACACACAUGAAGAUAUUGAUCCUGCUUUCAGCUAAUAUCAGAAAAAUUAAGAACAAAGGAUGCUGAAACUGUGCAGUCACUGUUACGGAUUAUUCCAGAUGUUUCAAAAGUGAAAUUAUAAUACAAUAUAUGUUACUGGUUAAUUCCUAUGAUUAGUAAUUUUAAACAACACACAGAGACUUUGCAUUAUUGUUUUACAAGAGAGACACCAAAAGAUGCAGUCAACAUUUAUCAUUUUUAUCAAAAUACACCCAGGACAAACUAUGGGUACACUUAGCUUGAAAUAUGGUGCUUUCUUACCAAAAUUGUCUGGAUGUAAAAGAAAUGAAGAACCAAAAUUCAUGUCAACAAUCAGGAGAUACCAGAAGAACUAGUAUAAAUGGUUAAAGAUGAAAGAAUGCAGAAUAAGGCAGGAUUGAAAGGAAGAAAGAACUAGUCAUCAGUAAAGAAACAGAUCAAUUUAUAUAACAUGUAAUAAUUCCAUCUGAAUAUAACAAACAUUGCACAUGUUAUGAAGAUUUAUUCACAUGUCUACUCUGAUUUAUAGUUAUGUAUUUGUAAUAUUAUAUAGUACAUGUAUUUUAUUUUAGAACAAUAUUUUUUUUUUUUUUUGCUGUGGAGAACAUCAAAGAAAUUUAGAAAAAUACAAUUAAAGAUAGUUUCUUCCAUUUUUUCUGUGACAAAAAAAAAUUGUGCAAAUUAGGAAAAUGAAAUCAGGCUAUAUUAUUAAAUAUUUUUGAGUUUUGGUUUUUUUUUACAUCCUAUUUUAAAAUUUCAUUGGCAUUUGAAGUAAUGAGUUGAAACCAGUUUUUAUUAAAAUAUUUUGUUUUCAAGAUGUACAAACAGUACAGUAGGUUAAGUCUUUGGUGUACAUUAGUUUACUAUGAUGUUAAGGUCAAAUAAACUUGAAACUUUGUACAUUUUACAAGUGUUCAUUAUGAAGUCAUUUUUUAAAAAUAAUUACAAAUAACUGAACAUGGAAAUGUGAUUGUUGGAGCAGGGUAUAAUGUGUUAUGGAUACAAAUCUCAAUCCCAUAGAGCACCGUCCUCCUCACUGGCCUCUCAGUAUGGUAUAUUGACUUUGAAAAUUUCCUUAGUUUACACUGUAAGGUUUGUGAUAAGUUCAGUUUAAGGAGAACCACUAAUAGUAUGUCAGGGAUAUUUUAUAAAUAUCUAAAUUCUGUGUUGUAAAAUCUUAUAGAUUUUGUUUUUUCAGGAUUUUUCCCAAUAUGUUUAAGAAAUCUGUAGUAUAAUUUUUGCUUGUAGAUUUUAUUUUGGGAUUUUUCCCGAAAUUGGUAAAAAAAUCUAUGCAGCAAGUGUGUGCUUGAUAAUAGAUUUAUAUUUUCGGGAUUUUUCCCGAAAUGUGAAAAGAAAUUAUUAGUCAUGAGUUCUAGCAUAUACUUUGGGUUUUCAGGAUAAAUCCUGAAAUAUUUGAAGACAUCUGUGUUAUACAUUUUGCACUUAGUUUAUUUUUGUCGGGAUUUUUCCCGAAAUGUGUUUCAGAUCUAUUUGUCAAAACGCUUUGCCAACAUAUAUGUUAUAAAUAAUAAUGUUGAAAAUAAUUUCGGGACAUUUCCCGAAUAAAGUUGUCAAAUACAUCUUUACCACAAAUAUUUUAAAACUUUCAUAUAUUUUGGGAAAUUUCCCAAAAAUUAAAUGUAAGUUUUAUCAAUUAUAUGAAUAAAAUCAUGGAAUAUUGU
Mytilus californianus (California mussel) is the source of this 2070-nucleotide long non-coding RNA. RefSeq lists it as uncharacterized. The transcript is spliced from 4 exons. The record is from RefSeq and is a predicted model, not a curated record. Lineage: Eukaryota; Metazoa; Mollusca; Bivalvia; Mytilida; Mytilidae.